GACGAACGCUGGCGGCGUGCUUAACACAUGCAAGUCGAACGGAAAGGCCCUGCUUGCAGGGUACUCGAGUGGCGAACGGGUGAGUAACUCGUGGGUGAUCUGCCCUACACAUCGGGAUAAGCCUGGGAAACUGGGUCUAAUACCGGAUAGGAGCCAUUUUUAGAGUGUUUGUUGGAAAGGUUUUUCGGUGUAGGAUGAGCUCUCGGCCUAUCGGCUUGGUGGUGGGGUAAUGGCCUACCAAGGCGGAGACGGGUAGCCGGCCUGAGAGGGUGGACGGCCACAUUGGGACUGAGGUACGGCCCAGACGCCUACGGGAGGCAGCAGUGGGGAAUAUUGCACAAUGGGCGCAAGCCUGAUGCAGCGACGCCGCGUGGGGGAUGACGGGCUUCGGGUUGUCAAAUCCAUUCGCUAGGGACGAAGCUUUUUGUGACGGUACCUAGAGAAGAAGCACCGGCUAACUCCGUG
Molecule: ribosomal RNA, 465 nt
Filed under: uncultured bacterium
Lineage: Bacteria
Description: partial 16S ribosomal RNA
Rfam family: Bacterial small subunit ribosomal RNA
Source: RNAcentral